UAGGGAAUAUUGGGCAAUGGAGGCAACUCUGACCCAGCCAUGCCGCGUGAAGGAUGACGGCGCUCAGCGUUGUAAACUUCUUUUAUCAGGGAAGAAAAGCAGGGGUGCGCCCUUGUGUGACGGUACCUGAGGAAUAAGCACCGGCUAACUCCGUGCCAGCAGCCGCGGUAAUACGGAGGGUGCAAGCGUUGUCCGGAUUUAUUGGGUUUAAAGGGUGCGCAGGUGGGCGACUAAGUCUGAUUUGAAAGCUAGCGGCUUAACCGUUAGAUGUGGUUGGAAACUGGUGGUCUUGAAUGGCGUAGCGGGAGCCGGAAUGGGUCAUGUAGCGGUGAAAUGCAUAGAUAUGACCCGGAACACCGAUUGCGAAGGCAGGCUCCUGGGCGCUGAUUGACACUGAGGCACGAAAGCAUGGGUAGCGAACA
Molecule: ribosomal RNA, 422 nt
Filed under: uncultured Bacteroidota bacterium
Lineage: Bacteria; Pseudomonadati; Bacteroidota
Description: bacterial SSU rRNA
Rfam family: Bacterial small subunit ribosomal RNA
Source: RNAcentral